RNAcentral lists this ribosomal RNA (1614 nucleotides) under Chaetothyriales sp. CR07/2-3. Its description in RNAcentral is "eukaryotic LSU rRNA". The stretch from base 26 to 1060 matches the Rfam family "Eukaryotic large subunit ribosomal RNA", at positions 24 to 1888 of the family's 3401-position model. Lineage: Eukaryota; Fungi; Ascomycota; Eurotiomycetes; Chaetothyriales. The record is from RNAcentral.
GUUGACCUCGGAUCAGGUAGGAAUACGCGCUGAACUUAAGCAUAUCAAUAAGCGCAGGAAAAGAAACCAACAGGGAUUACCUCAGUAACGGCGAGUGAAGCGGUAAUAGCUCAAAUUUGAAAUCUGGCCUCUCGGGGUCCGAGUUGUAAUUUGUAGAGGACGUUUUGGGUACCGCCCCGGUCUAAAUUUCUUGGAACAGAAUGUCAUAGAGGGUGAGAAUCCCGUCUUGGACCGGCGGUAGGGCCUGUGUAAAACUCCUUCGACGAGUCGAGUUGUUUGGGAAUGCAGCUCAAAAUGGGUGGUAAAUUUCAUCUAAAGCUAAAUAUUGGCCAGAGACCGAUAGCGCACAAGUAGAGUGAUCGAAAGAUGAAAAGCACUUUGAAAAGAGAGUUAAACAGUAUGUGAAAUUGUUGAAAGGGAAGCGCUUGCAACCAGACUUGAGCGCGGCGGUUCCCCCGGCCUUUUGGCCGGGCUACUCCGCCGUGUCCAGGCCAACAUCGGUUCUGAGGGUCGGUCAAAGGCCCCGGGAAUGUAUCUACCCACGGGUAGACUUAUAGACCGGGGUGUCAUGCGGCCUCUCGGGACCGAGGAACGCGCUUCGGCUCGGAUGUUGGCGUAAUGGUUGUCAGCGACCCGUCUUGAAACACGGACCAAGGAGUCUAACAUCUAUGCGAGUGUUUGGGUGUCAAACCCGGAACGCGAAAUGAAAGUGAACGGAGGUAGGAAGCUUCGGCUGCACUAUCGACCGAUCCUGAAGUUUACGGAAGGAUUUGAGUAAGAGCAUAGCUGUUGGGACCCGAAAGAUGGUGAACUAUGCCUGAAUAGGGUGAAGCCAGAGGAAACUCUGGUGGAGGCUCGCAGCGGUUCUGACGUGCAAAUCGAUCGUCAAAUUUGGGUAUAGGGGCGAAAGACUAAUCGAACCAUCAGAGACACACUGCGUUAUCAAAGGUGGAAGAACUUGAAAAGAUCCCUCAAAAUACGAGUAGGCGCGCCAGUUGAUGGGUCAUGGCUGACGCGUUCCAGAAGCUAAUGACUCCUGCGCCCGGCGCGAUCCCCCGCCGGCCAGCGAAAAAUGGCAAGGGGACACAAACGGAUCCCGCUACGCGAAAGCGUAGCGGUUCCGAGUCAAUACUUGCCAUGUAGGCUUUAUGGGAGAAAAGGGAAUCCCGCUCGUAUUUUAUGACCCGACCCGGGGACAACAAUAUCCUUAUUUAAGGAGCAUCUUUAUCAACGUAUUCUUACCGUAGUAGUUACCGGUGGUUGAGUGUAACCAUGAAAGUGGUUGCAAGUGCCUAGUUCUGGCGCGACACUAUCAAAUUGCGGGGACUCCCUAAAGCUUUAACGACCGCCCCGCCUAUGAAAAUAUGGCGCGGGCACCGGGUUAAUGACCCCGGGUAUGGUAAAACUGUUAAAGAUGCGACAAUGGGUAAUCUGCAGCCAAGUCCUAAGGGCCUAUUGGCCUAUGGACACAGUUCACAGACUAAAUGGUAGUGGGCUCUUCGUGGGCUUAAGAUAUAGUCGGUCCCCCAGGGAAACCUGGGCACACUCGCUAAAUCUGGAGGGAAGACUCUGCCUCGGGCAGUUCCUCCAGACCUGAACGCGUGUGGGCGCCCU